Molecule: ribosomal RNA, 330 nt
Filed under: uncultured Lachnospiraceae bacterium
Lineage: Bacteria; Bacillati; Bacillota; Clostridia; Lachnospirales; Lachnospiraceae
Description: partial 16S ribosomal RNA
Source: RNAcentral
GGAGUUUGGGCCGUGUCUCAGUCCCAAUGUGGCCGGUCACCCUCUCAGGUCGGCUACUGAUCGUCGCCUUGGUGAGCCGUUACCUCACCAACUAGCUAAUCAGACGCGGGUCCAUCUUAUACCGAGAAAUCUUUUCACACUGCAUCAUGCGAUGCUGUGCGCUUAUGCGGUAUUAGCAGUCGUUUCCAACUGUUGUCCCCCUGUACAAGGUAGGUUACCCACGCGUUACUCACCCGUCCGCCACUCAGUCAAUAAUCCGUCACCCCGAAGGGAUCGUAGAAAACUGCUUCGUUCGACUUGCAUGUGUUAAGCACGCCGCCAGCGUUCAUC